GAUGAACGCUGGCGGCGUGCCUAAUACAUGCAAGUCGAGCGAACGGACGAGAAGCUUGCUUCUCUGAUGUUAGCGGCGGACGGGUGAGUAACACGUGGAUAACCUACCUAUAAGACUGGGAUAACUUCGGGAAACCGGAGCUAAUACCGGAUAAUAUUUUGAACCGCAUGGUUCAAAAGUGAAAGACGGUCUUGCUGUCACUUAUAGAUGGAUCCGCGCUGCAUUAGCUGGUUGGUAAGGUAACGGCUUACCAAGGCAACGAUGCAUAGCCGACCUGAGAGGGUGGUCGGCCACACUGGAGCUGAGACGCGGUCCAGACGCCUACGGGAGGCAGCAGUAGGGAAUCUUCCGCAAUGGGCGAGAGCCUGACGGAGCAACGGCGCGUGGGUGAUGAAGGUCUUCGGAUCGUAAAACUCUGUUAUUAGGGAAGAACAGAUGUGUAAGUAACUGUGCACAUCUUGACGGUACCUAAUCAGAAAGCCACGGCUAACUACGUG
RNAcentral lists this ribosomal RNA (497 nucleotides) under uncultured bacterium. RNAcentral describes it as "partial 16S ribosomal RNA". It matches the Rfam family "Bacterial small subunit ribosomal RNA", at positions 28 to 507 of the family's 1533-position model. The record is from RNAcentral.